UUUUUUUUUUUAUUUUUAGGGCCCCACCUUCAGCAUAUGGAAGUUCCCAGACUAGGGGUCAAAUCAGACUGACCAGGCUAGGCCACAGCCACAGCAAUGCCAAAUCUGAGCUGCAUCCAAGAGCUACACCAAGCUUGCUGCAAUGCCAGAUCCUUUAACUCACUGAGCGAGGAUCUGGUGUUGGUGUGACCUAUGGUGUAGGUCGAAGGUGUGGCUUGGAUCUGGCAUUGCCGUGACUGUGGUGUAGGCCAGCACCUGCAGCUCUGAUUUGACCCCUAGCCUGGGAACUACCAUAUACUGCAGGCGCAGCCAUAAAAAUAAGAAAAUAAAAGAAAAAGAAAAGAAAUUAGAUUUCAAAAAACUGUUCUAGAUUGGUUAAUUCUGAAAAAGAGAUUCCUCUUUUUAUGUCCCAUAAAAAGAGCAUCAUAAAUAUUUUCCUCAAUGAAGUUUAAAACUGGUCUGGAUUAAGUAUGCCAAUGAAAUGCUUCAACUCUGUAUAUAAGUCCUGCAGUUGAUACUCUAUAAUUUAAUCUAGGAAAAAAUAGGCUUGCAUAGCUUUCAUGAAUUAAUUAAAACUAAAAAUUUUCAGUGAGAGAUGACAAUACUUACCAGAAACAAGUCAUCAGUUCUGUAGUUAUUUUUACUUUCAUGUUAUUUGGAUCCAGAGUUUAGAUGGCAAAUCAGAAAUCUGCCCAAGUUAAUCACUAGAAUAUACAACUUAUUUUAUGUCUUAGCAUCUCCAUUUUUUUUCUCCACUUAAGUGAGAAGAAACCCUGUGCCUAAACUUUAUGUCUUCCAGAAGCAUUUGAGGAAAAAACAUGUUUGAAAGAAGAUUUUUCUAAUGUAUCUUAGAGAAUUCUGUUACUAUAGAGAGAUUGUCUCCUCUGCUAAGAACAAACAGAAAAUAAAGACUAUAAAUAAAUGAACAAUUCCAGAAGCCUGUUUCAUAGUGUCAUCUCUGUAAAAUUGCUCAGACGAGGUGCCACGUUUUUCAUUUUCUUCUCAGCUGGCCUGGGCUUAGAGCAACAAUCUGCCACUCGCGUGUAUCAAGUAUGUGCUAGAAUAUAGAAAUAUACAUAAUCCUUGCCUUGGGUACAAUUGAGUGAGCUGAAGUAGCACAAGAAAGGCUCUGAAAACCCUAGUGGGUUAUAAAUGCAUUGAUCUCCAGGAGGCCUGUCUGAUAGAUGUGACCAUGGCAUGCUUUGUGACUUUUUGGGUGGAUUUGCUUAGAUAUCAAUCAAAUUUUAAGCUACCUAUGGGCGAAAUGCACUGGGAGACAUUUCACACAGGUUCAGGAAGACAUGGAAUGACUUUGCCACUCAGAUAAAAUUAAAUCCUGAGAAAUAAAACCCUUAAAGGAAGUGAAUAUACGGAAGAAGGGAAGACAAUACCUUUAUCAUUAACAAUCAAUCAGACAUUUACUAAGUGCCUGAUCUGAAGAUUUCUUACAUUUCAGUAGCUAGGAAAUCUUGGUUUACAAAAAUACUUUCACGUACGUUAUCUUAUUUGAUCCUCCCAACAAACCAGUAACAUAAGCGGGACAAUUUUAAGAUGAGGAAAUUGCAUCCCAGAGGCUUAUGUGCUUCCUGUAGCUCUUACUCCCAGUUGAAGGGGUCAUGGGCAGAGAAACCACCCAGAUCUCCCCGUGGUCACUGCCCUUUGACCACCGGUACUGCACUCCUUCAUUCUGUGUUUGGUUCUGCAGAGGAUUCAAAAGAAGUAAAGACAUGAUCCCCCCUGCCCUCAGUAAGUUUAUGAUCUAGCUUGGAAUGCAAGUUUUGCAUAUGAAAAUGCAAGUUUUGCAUAUGAAA
RNAcentral lists this long non-coding RNA (1811 nucleotides) under Sus scrofa (pig). RNAcentral's name for it is "lncRNA (ENSSSCG00025006691.1)". Lineage: Eukaryota; Metazoa; Chordata; Mammalia; Artiodactyla; Suidae. The record is from RNAcentral.